Molecule: ribosomal RNA, 253 nt
Filed under: uncultured bacterium
Lineage: Bacteria
Description: partial 16S ribosomal RNA
Rfam family: Bacterial small subunit ribosomal RNA
Source: RNAcentral
UACGUAGGGGGCUAGCGUUGUCCGGAAUCAUUGGGCGUAAAGAGCGUGUAGGCGGCCCGGUAAGUCCGCUGUAAAAGUCCAGGGCUCAACCCUGGAAAGCCGGUGGAUACUGUCGGGCUAGAGUCCGGAAGAGGAGAGUGGAAUUCCUGGUGUAGCGGUGAAAUGCGCAGAUAUCAGGAAGAACACCCGUGGCGAAGGCGGCUCUCUGGUACGUGACUGACGCUGAGACGCGAAAGCGUGGGGAGCGAACAGG